CGGGGUGGAGUAAUGUCUGGGAAACUGCCUGAUGGAGGGGGAUAACUGCUGGAAACGGUAGCUAAUACCGCAUAACGUCGCAAGACCAAAGAGGGGACCUUCGGGCCUCUUGCCAUCGGAUGUGCCCAGAUGGGAUUAGCUAGUAGGUGGGGUAACGGCUCACCUAGGCGACGAUCCCUAGCUGGUCUGAGAGGAUGACCAGCCACACUGGAACUGAGACACGGUCCAG
RNAcentral lists this ribosomal RNA (229 nucleotides) under uncultured bacterium. Its description in RNAcentral is "partial 16S ribosomal RNA". It matches the Rfam family "Bacterial small subunit ribosomal RNA", at positions 104 to 334 of the family's 1533-position model. The record is from RNAcentral.